RNAcentral lists this ribosomal RNA (899 nucleotides) under uncultured archaeon. RNAcentral describes it as "bacterial SSU rRNA". It matches the Rfam family "Archaeal small subunit ribosomal RNA", at positions 5 to 879 of the family's 1478-position model. The record is from RNAcentral.
CGGUUGAUCCUGCCGGACCUCACUGCUAUCGGGGUGAGAAUAAGCCAUGCAAGUUGUGCGCCCCCUAAGCCUUGGGGACCGCAGCUCACGCCUCAGUAAUACGUAGUUAACCUGCCCUUAGGACGAGGAUAACCCCGGGAAACUGGGGCUAAUACUCGAUAGGUGGGAGCGCCUGGAAUGGUCUCCCACCGAAAAGGUGUUGAGAUCAUGCUUCUCAAAACCGCCUAAGGAUGGAACUGCGGCCGAUCAGGUUGUUGGUAGGGUAACGGCCUACCAAGCCUAUGACCGGUACGGGCCCUGAGAGGGGUAGCCCGGAGAUGGGAACUGAGACAAGGUCCCAAGCCCUACGGGGCGCAGCAGGCGCGAAAACUCCACAAUACGCGAAAAGCGUGAUGGGGUCACCCCGAGUGCCGUCCGAAGAGGAUGGCUUUUCCUCGGUGUAAAGAACCGGGGUAAUAAGAGGGGGGCAAGACUGGUGUCAGCCGCCGCGGUAAUACCAGCCCCUCGAGUAGUGAGGAUGAUUACUAGGCCUAAAGCGUCCGUAGCCGGCUUGGUGAGUUCUUCGUGAAAUCCGACGACUUAAUCGUCGGGGCGCGAAGGAGACUACCAAGCUAGGGGGCGGGAGAAGUCGACGGUAUUCCUGGGGUAGGGGUGAAAUCCUAUAAUCCCAGGAGGACCACCAGUGGCGAAGGCGGUCGACUAGAACGCGCCCGACGGUGAUGGACGAAAGCUGGGGGAGCGAACCGGAUUAGAUACCCGGGUAGUCCCAGCUGUAAACGAUGCGAGCUAGGUGUUGGGGCAGCUACGUGCUGCCCCAGUGCCGCAGGGAAGCCCUUAAGCUCGCCGCCUGGGAAGUACGGCCGCAAGGCUGAAACUUAAAGGAAUUGGCGGGGGAGCAC